Molecule: microRNA, 21 nt
Filed under: Ophiophagus hannah (king cobra)
Lineage: Eukaryota; Metazoa; Chordata; Lepidosauria; Squamata; Elapidae
Description: oha-miR-33-3p
Gene: oha-miR-33-3p
Source: miRBase by way of RNAcentral
CAAUGCCCCUUCAGUGCAGCC